This 8916-nucleotide long non-coding RNA is filed under the name Gallus gallus (chicken). The record is from RNAcentral. Lineage: Eukaryota; Metazoa; Chordata; Aves; Galliformes; Phasianidae.
GACAGCAGCAUCCUUAGUUUCUGGUCUAUCUAUCUGUUGUUGUUUUGUGAUAAACAUUACUAAUGGAUGCCAUAAACCACAGCACAGAUGGUGUCAAAAGAAGUUAGGAAUUAAACAUUUUUUUUAAGCUUACUUCCAGGCUGUGUCAUCUGUAAGACUGAGUGACACAUUGCACAUCAUAAGCUGCAAUGUUUGGCAUUCUUUUAUGGAGUUUUAUGGAGUUUUAUGGAGUUCUUCUAAUACCACUUUUUUUUUUUUUCAUAAGGAAAAGAAACUACUUGUUUCUUCACCUCUCAGUAAACCCUAACACAGAAGAAUGAGUUACCCAUGACUGAAAUUACUAAACAGCUCUGAUAACACUUUUCUCUCAUCAAGAAAAAAACCUUAAAUUAGAAACUUUCUGAAGUAUUCUACCUCGGUUGUUAUUUUCUAGGUUAAACACUAAUUAUGUAAGGACUUGCUGUCAGUUUUUCCCUAAAGCAUUUGCAAAUUCAGCAUCACUGGGGAAGAUUAACGUGUGUUAAAGGAAAUACAAGAAGAUUUCUUAACACUCUGUUAACUGCAAGAUGCUUUGCCUUAAGGAAGUUGAACACGCAGGAUUUUGAUGCACCCUCAGCAAGUUUGCAAAGGACACCAAGCUGUAUGGUGUAGUGGAUGCUCCUGAAGGAUGAGAUGCCAUUCAGAGGGAUCCAUACAGGCUCAAGCAGUGGGCCCGAGAGAACUUCAUGAGGGUCAACAAAUCCAAAGAUUUAUCAUGAACCAUCUCCUCCAACAACUGGAGCAAGACACUGUGUUAUUCGACGCUUCAUCACAGGAAUCUCUGUUCCUGUCGUUGCAGAAGUGGGACUGAUGUUUGAGGUUGUGGUGCUCAGAACUUCCCCAGGGGCUGGAGAGACCUGUAUAUCUAUAUACAUGCAUCUCAGAUCAUUAAACUUCACCAGAGAGCAGAACUCAAGGAAGAAAACCAAUUACUUCACUAUAAGCGCUGAAAGCUGAUACUUCUGUCUCUUCCCCAACAACCCUAAGAGAUAUGGCUCCAAGAAGCACCUCCAAUGCUCAAAAAUACACAUGGAGGGACAACAGUGAAGCAUAUGGUUGCCAGGAAGCUGGGGGUCAGCGCCACAGAGGUUACAAGAGUGCCUGAUGAAGAGCAGCAGAGACCCCCAGAUGCCUGCAGGGACUCAUCUCUUGUUGGUUUUGGUGAGUUAGUCCCCUCAGUGCCUUCAAAGAUGUGAACCAAUGUAUCCACUAACUGUCUGAUAUUAAGAUAAGUCAGAGAGCAUUAGAGACUCACAGAGGGAAGACAACUGGUGAAACCCUGAACGUUUGUGACUGAAGGCUACGUGUGGGUUGGGAACGCCAAGAAUCAAAACACAACUCUCUCCAAAUCCAUAAUAGCCACUGUGCUGUUCUCUGCUAUGAGAAGAAAGGAAUAUGUAUUAAGGGUUGUAUGUUCCCAUUUGGAAAUCUCUAGGUUCUUUCAGAUCUGAAGAACCAAGGGGAAUACUCAGUUAAAAUGGCCCCUUCUUUGAAGAUAUAUAAUUGAACUCACUCUAUAUAUUGACCAAAUAGUACUAUACUCCUUAAUUGUCAGCUAUUAUCGUGUGGUCCAAAAGGGCAAUUCAGUCACAGAUUUAAUUUCUUCAUAUAUUUAUUUUAACUGUGUCCUGAAUGAAUCUACCAAUUUCUGUUCCUAUCCCCUCUUGGAAGCUGAGUGGAAAACAGACUGACACUGGAUGUGCUACAGACAUUUGACACAGGUUUUGUAGUGCUUUAUUCUGAACAGUAAUUAGGUAAAUCAGUACUGAACAUAUGCAGCAGGCAGUCUUUAGAUAGAAAGGAAAACUAAUUACCAUAAUUUCAUAUGGAAUUUGGAGACUUCUAAUUACAGUGUUAAUCUCACUCAAGUCAAAGCCUUUAUUUCUUUCUUGAAUCCCAGAGGUUAGGUAGACGUGUGGAGCCUCCUUAAUGCUGAAUCCAGAAGUGACAGAAAAUCUGCAUCUGAAGAGUGUGGCAUUUCCAAUAUUAAUCCAAGUGAUUUCUAUCCUAGAACUGCACAGCCUUCUUUUUCUCGGGAUAUAUACAACAGAGUUCCUCUCAGCUGCAGUGAACUGGUCACCUCUGCCAUGUCUGAAGGAGAAUGAGUGAAAAAAUCCCACACAGUAGAGUGCAACCUCCCCAACCUACAAACUGAGGUAGCACACACUGAAGAGUCUUCUGGGUGUUUUAUUAUUGCCUCUUGCAUCCAUAUUGCAGCUGCUGUUUCACAGAUGCAAACUCUGAGUUGUUCAGCUGCACUAUUUCACCGUGCAUUAGCAGGGUCCAGCAGGGCACCCUGGAUCACCAGACUAUAGCCAAGUACAAGAGGAGGGCUAUCACACCACAUGUCCACAUUUUCCCCCUUUAGGCAGUGAGUAUGAGUCUCAAGGGAAGGUGUUUUGGAUAUGAAACAGGAAUGCAGCUCUUUCCCCCAGAGCCUUUUCCAGCUCCUAGUCUUUCAAAAACAGAUUCUCUGUUCAUUUUGUUUUGGAAAAAGAUGUCACAGAGGAACAAAAUAUUCUCGUGGAUGAGGAUGGAAUACUUCUUAGUCAAAUAUCAUGUGUUCUGCACAGUGGGAAUCCUUCAGCUUAAAGGGAUUAAAUAAAAGGAAAUAAACUAGUUCUGCUGCAUAUGUAGAGUACAUUGUAUUACCCUGUUGAUAUAUGAACCUCUUAGAAUUCCUUUCAAAGGUGAUAGUCAGGACACCAAGCUUUACAGGAACAUGCAUCACCAUAAAUUUAUGGUUUUUUUCAUAAUUAAUAUUCUCUGCUUAUGGGGAACAGAAUCUGCCUGAAAGAAUCACAUUGCGAGUUUUGUUGUGCCUAAACAAAAAGAUAAACGGAUGGUCAGCUUUAAAUUCAUCUUUGUGUUGCAGAAUCCGAUAUCCUGGUACCUCUAGAGACUCUCCACCCUGUUCAUUUACUUCCAAGGAGACUUUAUGAAUGAUCUUUGACAAAACCACACCUUUGGUUUCACACAUCUCAGAGAAAUCUGAUGCACUCUCAUUAAAGACAUUUGUCAUGCCGAGGCUUUCCAGGAGUGGCUUCAGGUCAUAAUCGCCUUCCACACUAAACUUUGGAAGAAACACAUUCACUUUGGUGUUGGCCAUCAUGCUGGGAUUGGUCCACUGUAAUAAUGUCUCAGGGGUGAGUGCCUUUUCCAGCUGAGGACAUAAAGAACAAAGGAAAUUAAUGUGCAGUCCAGAGAAAGUGGGAACAAAAAGACCAUUUCUGAACUCAUCAGUCCUAUCAAACCCCCAGAAAACAAAGUCCAAAAGACAACUUUUGCUUGUAGCAUUCAGAGUUAACUUACACUCUCAGUUAUAUUGAUAUAAUGAUUAUUUAACCUAUAGAGUAGACUUCCAGAGAAACUCCACUAAAUGUGCAUACUCUGAUUACUGGUUCUUCACAAGCGUUUGCUAUGUAAUCAGCUCAACAACCCAAUGAAGGAAUUCAAGGAAGACAGUCCCUACCCAAGCUACCCACCGCUAACCGACACAGCUGUGCAUGGAAAGCAUCAUCUCAGUACUGUUUUUUUCUCUCACCUUUUCCAGGCCAGUCGUUUCAUCUUCAAUGUCUUUGGGAAGCAGAAUGAGCAUGCUUAUAUGUUUGUUAAGGCAUGGAAGUUCAAGGAUUGCAACAUUCAACUCUUUUACAUAACCCAGGCAAAAAGUAGCUUCCAGAUUCAUCAUUUGCACUGGCUUAGUUUCAGUCUGCAAAACACAAGAGGAGACAAUCUAGCACUCCUUUUAAUUCACAGAGAAGGUGAGAGAGGAAACUUCGCAAGCUUGCAUGAAAGUGGUACAUUGAUUACCAUCAUGGAAUUUGUUGGCUUCCCUAAGUAACAAUAUCAGCUGUAAGACUCUGCUAGUGAAAGCUGUUGGUACUUUAAGGGGAGCAGUUUUCAUGUGACAAGGUGUACUUAAUACAAUAUACUGGGGAUGUGCUUUAAAGGAAAGAAUUACCUACUAUCGGUGACCUUUAGUGCUUGUUUCACCAACAGCUUCAAACUAGCAACAUAACAAGAAAACUGGCUCAGGUACUUUUGCAACAGCACAUAGGUUUUGACAGAGAGUCUAAGAAUGCCAUAGUAGUAACAAUAUUUUUCACUUGCUCUCACUGAAAUUUCCUUAGCACAAAAUUGGCAAACAUUCAUCUGAGUAGAAGGUGUACUCUAUUUUAUUUCAGGACGUACCUUGUUGACUUUAAAAGGACAUUCCUUGAUCUCUGCUUCUGGGAACUUCUUCAUCCAGUUUGUGACAAAAUAAGCUGCAUUAACUAGGAGGAUCUGAGUCUGGUCACUUACACUGUCCUCAUUCAGAAUAUUCUCCAUUUUGCCUGUGAAGAUGGUUAAGCUGGUCAUUAAUACAGUAAAUUAUCAACAUAUGUGUUGUUUUCACAGAACAUGGAAACACUGUACUGAAUUAAAAUAUUUCUGCCCUGCACCUCACAGAUAGCAGUUUUAAUUAUAAAGGGAAAUCCCCACAUAGAAGCAUUUAGUUGCUUAGCUGCAGCUCCAUGUUUAACGUGGAAUUUGGGAUCAAGACAGAUCUUCCAAGUGACAUUUUUACUCGGUUUACGUAAAACAGAAUAAAAAAUAUGUCUACUGCUUUUCUUUAGUACUUUAAAGAAGGUACUGAAACUUCAGUGAAAUUCAGCAGGUAGAACUGAAAAAAAUAUUUCUCAUUUGGAGAGAGAGACUUCAAGGGAAGUUCCAGUUUAGCUUUUACUCACUUUUGGAGUGAUACAUAAGAAUAAAAUAACCCGAAUAAGAAAUGCCGCUAACCAUCUAAUUACAGUUCAUAACCAAAUAGUGCCAUGGAUUUCAAAAAGAGAACGUAAUUCUUUCCCUUGCUUUAUUCUGUGUCUGUCCAAACACUGUCAUGAGGCACUGAAUUCACAGUGUUGUGGACGUUAGUCUUCAUUCAUGCACAUAUCACACAGGCAGCGCAAAGUACUUCCCUGUGGGCACCUGUGUCACCUUGGGAUGGAGCAGAUGUAACUCAGGCACCCAUAUUUUCAUAUGUGUACCACAUGAGGGCAAUAGGCAGCAACCAACCCUGGAGCUACCUAUGGACAGCAUGUACAUGAGCUCUGCCUUGGGCACUGCGUACCAGACCUCUACCCUGCACAGACUGGGCAGGUUCUGCCUGGGAGCCUUGAUGGUCACUGAGAGGCACUUCUUGUGACUUAGUGGCUCAGUGGUACUGCAGGAAAAGUGCUGCAGAACUAUUGCCACGGGAGUGUUUCCAAGUAAGAAACACAUGUCCACCUGUGGUCAAAAUCAGCUGUGCUGCUGAGAUGAGCUACUAAUUAACAGCCUGAAAUUCAGAGUUCAGCACAUACUCUCCAUUAGAGAACGGGGCCAGGAUUUGAUGUAUUGAUGUCAGAUGUUUGUGAAGCUCUGCAGCCAGGAGCCAAACUUUCCCAAUGAAAACAAAUGAGAUGCUUUGCCAAAGGCUAAUGUAAAGUCUGCCUCCAGAAAUGCCACAGUAGUAAAGUAAAUGAUUUAAAAACAUGCUAACACAGCUAAUCCUCAUGAAUCCAAAUAAUAGGUGCAGUCCCUUUGCUUUCACUGUAUAUUUACUUCUAAAAGCAAUAGUUAGGAGAUGUCAUGAAGACAAAGACAUCAUUCUUCAAAGAGGUAAUCAGCAUCCCCGAGGUUAGGCCCUACUCACCAUCAGUUAGCUCUGAGAGAGAUUUGUUGAUCUUCUGCCGUGUUUCCUCAGUUUUUUCCUUGAACUCCACUAGUUCCAGCUCUGAUGGAAAAGGCCUCUUUGUGGAGUUAACAAAGUCCUGAAAGACACAAGUACCAAAGCUAACCUUCCUUAGAUGUUCUUCACUAGAUGACUCUCCACACGGCCUACAAAACCAGUAUCCCAAGCUUCAUUACGGUGUAGGCAGAGAGUAUAUUACAAAGGACAGCUAAUAAGUAACAGCAGGUGACAGCCAGGACACGCAGCCGCAUUCAGCAGAUUGCUCCCAAGACUGUCUUCAAUACAGUUAUACUGGCUGCUAAAGUACCUUUCGUACUGCAGGAGUGAACAUGUUGCCUGAGUUUGAAAGGAUAAAGUGGCCUUCAGUCUACACCUGGGCAAAAGAAAGGGAUGAGACAAAGGCCACAGGCUGCUCACAGUGUGCCUAUCCUUGUCAGGUGAGAUGCUCACUGCUGUGGAUGGGGCCAAAAAGCAGGCAACCUGAUUAUAACACCAUUCAAGCAGGCUGUGAGUCUUCUGAAACAUCACUUCUAGGCUGAAGUUGCCCUUGCUUGGGGCCCUAUUCAAAGGCAACUCUGAUAAAACAAACACAACAUUUUUCUCAGUUGUUUGCAAGGUCCUUAAGCUUCAUGGCCAAACAACACUUUCCUCACUUGUGUUGUUUGAAUAACCAGGCUUGUGCCUCCUCAGUUAGAUUAAGAAAACUACUCUUUAUGCAGUAAUUACUUGGGUGUGUGGACUAGACACACUUGCACCACCAUCUUUAUUUAAAAUCCUUCCCAGUCAUACUUAUAUUGCAAAGCCCUUGAUGUGGCAUAGAAGUCAUAUUGCAUUCAAAACCUACUGCGCCUACUGACCUAAAACAUAUUAAUGAAAGAAUUGCAACUCUAGCAGUGGCUGCAUUGCUUGGGGUCAAGCAGAACAAUCAUCCUCCUACAAACUCUUAUUAUGCUGUUCAUCAUCUGAGUCUAGUCAAGUAAAAGCUAAUAGUGAGAGAACGUAUUUUGAAUAACAUUGAAGUCUGGUUGGUCGAGCAAUUCAAGCACUUUUCUGCAGUACUUACUGUGGUAGGGCUGAGCGACUUGUCUACAAAGAGCCGCUUGACCAUUUUCAGUGCAAAGAAAGAGGUGAGUUUGGAAACAUCUGCAGUUACCGUUUGAAACCCAAAAGAAACAUCUUUGACGUCUUGUAAAUGGAGCACCUGAUAAUGAACAAGAUAAAAUACUGAGCACCUUUCUUUUUAUUAUCUAAAAACUCAUAGAAUCAUAGUAUCAUUAAGGUUGGAAAUGACCUCUGGGAUGAUCUAGUCCAACUGUCAACCCACCACCACUGUGCCCGCUAAACCAUAUCCCACAGUGCCACAUGUACACAGUUCUUGAACAGCUCCUUGGGUAGCCUGUUCCAAUACCUCACUUUCAGAAAAAGAAAAAUUUCCUCAUAUCCAACCUGAACCUCCUCCAGUUCAACUUGAGGCCAUGGCCUCUCAUUCUACUAAUACUACCUGGGAGAAGAGGUCAGCCCCGAGCUCACCACAGCCUCCUCUCAUGCAGUUGUAGACAGGGAUAAGGUCUCCCCUGAGCCUCUCCUUCUCCAGACUGAACAAUCCCAGUUUUCUCAGCUGCUCUCCUGUAAGAUCUGUGUUCCAGACCCUUCACAGCUUUGUUGUCCUUCUCUGGACAUGCUCCAGGCCUAACAGCUUGGCAAUAAAUAAUGCUGUUUGUGACCAGAGCUUUGACUUUUUUGUAUUCAAGCUAACAACACGACUUCUCACUCUUAUUUAUUACUAAAAAAAAAAAUAAUUUAUUUGACAUCCCCACAUAAAUCUAAAAACUUGAUCCUAUCAAAACUUUAACCAAAUGUGUUUCCUUCCUGUGAGCAGUCCAAAGAAUUCCAUAGAGCUGUUCAUACUAGCAAAGUGAUUUAGUGAACUACAUAUCUGCAGCGUGGAGUCAUGCUUUUAUCAAACUCACAUUCUUGUCCAAAAAUCUGGAGUUUAGAGGCCAGAUAAAUAAAUGUUCCGGUUAGUUUCCUUUCUGGAAGUGGGUUACUUCUUUAAAAACUGCUUACCAUAUGGCAAGGUUUUCUGAUUAUUGACACAUGACGUCAUGUGGUAUUUCAGUAGAAAUCAGUCAGAUAAGCAGGUGAGCUUUGGCAGACAGAACGUAAGUUAGAGGUAAGGCUGCUGACCCACCUCCCAGCUCCGGGAAAUCACAUGCCCAGUUCCAGGAUAUUCUAGCAUGACCUAAACCUCUCUGCUUUUAGGUGCCUGCCUGUUGCAAGGUCUCUGAGAGUGCAUGUUCCAUUAAAAACAGCCUGCCCAACCCUUCUCAUCUUUCCCAACCAGCAUCAGUGACCUCCUUUUCCCUUUCAGCCUCACUCCUGCUCUUUCUCCCUGAACACACCAUGUCUUUACAGGCACAGUAAAUUACCUUGAGAAAUGUGAAACAUAAGUGCACUUGUGUAACAGAACCCUAUUUGUGGAUGUGGAUGUUCACUUACUGUGGGACGGUUCAAUGCAAAUUGCAGGCACAAGUGAAAGUGAAAUUAAGCACAGGUUAAUGUUUUAAGCUCUUCCAUUGCAAAGACAGUGCUUGAACUUUGAAAUGACAAGGAAGCUUUGGGGUGUCAUUUAAACUAGAAAUAAGAUCUAAAAAUCAUUUUUAUUUUUUUUUUUUAAAUAAUCCUAUUUGGGAAAACACCCAGCAGGCCUUUGUGGAUAUACCACUUUGUUUCUGUGCAAAUAGACUCAUUGCAAUCUGUAGGAUGAGCAGAGGCACCAGAGGCUGUGCUCCAGCAAUGUGCCGUCAGGGAAACCAAAGGUACAAGGAGGAACUGCUAAACGAAGAAAAAUGUAUUCAAAUACAUGGAAUGCCCCUGAGAGCCAGGUGAUAAUCAGCAUAUAAAUGCAUGCUGAAUUUGCUUCUCAUUCACCUCUAGGUAACUGCUGAGACUGUGGGCACUGGAAUAAAAAGAGGCUGUGUAAAUCCUGGCUCUCACAGAGGCAGUCGUGCAGCCUCUCACUGCCACAGAGCAACCUUGAUAAACUCAUUGCACCAUCACCAUGAUGCUGCUUCGUGGUGCUGUAAAACCCUUGAGCAUCUAGAGCUAUUUGCAAGGCAAACCACUACUCAAGCUUAGCUGCCUCCUACUGCAUUAUCUUC